Molecule: long non-coding RNA, 355 nt
Organism: Populus trichocarpa (black cottonwood)
Lineage: Eukaryota; Viridiplantae; Streptophyta; Magnoliopsida; Malpighiales; Salicaceae
Exons: 3
Source: RefSeq, a predicted model, not a curated record
UGAAUUUUGAGAGAGAACCGGCAGGAGAGAAAGGGAGAAAGAAGAAGAAGAGAAAAGAGGGAAAUUAGAAGGGAAAUAGAAAGGAAUUGAAGGAAAUAAGUAAAAAGAUAAUCCUGAUAUUCUACCGGCGGGACGUCAGUAGGAUUUUCUUCGGUGUCUGCUUUUGGCUUCUGUUUGCUUUUGAGUCAGGCUUAUAGCUUAAUAACAGGUCAUUUUGUUGGACCUUCAGAACCUGCUUUUUGGUUGUACUUGGUACCUUUCCUUUAUGUCUAGUUAGUGCUCCAAAACUCUGAACUUAUAUAAACUCUUGUAUUAAGACAAUUCAAUUAUAUUAUGAAGUUGAUUUUGUUAUUAA